CUCUUAUCCCGAGCUGGUGGAGGGUCAGGCCCUAUGAAACCCGGCAACCUGCAUUGUGAUUUUAUGUGAUGCGCUGGUGCUCAAUCUGAUGCAAGGAUUUGAUCCUUGAACGAUAAGAG
Molecule: non-coding RNA, 119 nt
Filed under: Viridibacillus arenosi
Lineage: Bacteria; Bacillati; Bacillota; Bacilli; Caryophanales; Caryophanaceae
Also listed under: 1 other name
Description: SAM-I sequence
Rfam family: SAM riboswitch aptamer (S box leader)
About the family: The SAM riboswitch is found upstream of a number of genes which code for proteins involved in methionine or cysteine biosynthesis in Gram-positive bacteria.
Source: RNAcentral